GGGUUUCCGCCCCUUUAGUGCCGAAGUUACCGCAUUAAAGCGCUCCGCCUGGGGAGUACGGCCGCAAGGCUGAACCUCAAAGGAAUUGACGGGGGCCCGCACAAGCGGUGGAGCAUGUGGUUUAAUUCGAAGCAACGCGAAGAACCUUAGCAGGUCUUGACAUCCUCUGAAAACCCUAGAGAUAGGGCUUCUCCUUCGGGAGCAGAGUGACAGGUGGUGCAUGGUUGUCGUCAGCUCGUGUCGUGAGAUGUUGGGUUAAGUCCCGCAACGAGCGCAACCCUUGAUCUUAGUUGCCAUCAUUAAGUUGGGCACUCUAAGGUGACUGCCGGUGACAAACCGGAGGAAGGUGGGGAUGACGUCAAAUCAUCAUGCCCCUUAUGACCUGGGCUACACACGUGCUACAAUGGACGGUACAAAGAGCUGCAAGACCGCGAGGUGGAGCUAAUCUCAUAAAACCGUUCUCAGUUCGGAUUGUAGGCUGCAACUCGCCUACAUGAAGCUGGAAUCGCUAGUAAUCGCGGAUCAGCAUGCCGCGGUGAAUACGUUACCGGGCCUUGUACACACCGCCAGUCUCGCUCAGAGAAUUUAGACAUCCGAAGAGUUGUAGGCUAACCAGUCGUAACAAGGUAGCCGUAGAGUUACCGUCC
Molecule: ribosomal RNA, 647 nt
Filed under: Bacillus sp. (in: firmicutes)
Lineage: Bacteria; Bacillati; Bacillota; Bacilli; Caryophanales; Bacillaceae
Description: bacterial SSU rRNA
Rfam family: Bacterial small subunit ribosomal RNA
Source: RNAcentral